GCGUCGAUAGCUGAGAUGGAUUAGCGAGGGGCUGAAAAUCCCUAGAGGUUGGUUCGAUACCAAUUCGAUGCA
RNAcentral lists this transfer RNA (72 nucleotides) under Stenotrophomonas phage IME-SM1. It matches the Rfam family "tRNA". Rfam says of the family: Transfer RNA (tRNA) molecules are approximately 80 nucleotides in length. Their secondary structure includes four short double-helical elements and three loops (D, anti-codon, and T loops). The record is from Rfam by way of RNAcentral. Lineage: Duplodnaviria; Heunggongvirae; Uroviricota; Caudoviricetes.